UUAGCAAAUGCAACAUCAGAAAUCAUUUGGGUCAAAUCCAUGCCCAGAGAACUUGGAAAACGUCAUACACAACCCUCUUGUCUCUGGUGUGAUAAUCUUGGUGCCACAUAUUUAUCUGUGAAUCCUGUUUUUCAUGCAAGAACAAAACACAUUGAAAUUGACUAUCAUUUUGUUCGAGAAAGAGUUGCAAACAAAGAAUUGGAAAUUCGCUUUGUUCACUCCAAGGAUCAAGUUGCAGAUGGGUUCACAAAAGCUUUGCCUACAAGACAGUUUGAAGAGUUCAAGCGUAAUCUUAACUUAGCUAAGUUAUGA
Molecule: ribosomal RNA, 312 nt
Filed under: Triticum aestivum (bread wheat)
Lineage: Eukaryota; Viridiplantae; Streptophyta; Magnoliopsida; Poales; Poaceae
Description: partial small subunit ribosomal RNA
Source: RNAcentral